CCUACGGGAGGCAGCAGUGGGGAAUUUUGGACAAUGGGGGCAACCCUGAUCCAGCCAUUCCGCGUGAGUGAAGAAGGCCUUCGGGUUGUAAAGCUCUUUCGGCAGGAACGAAACGGCUCUCUCUAACAUAGGGGGCUAAUGACGGUACCUGAAGAAGAAGCACCGGCUAACUACGUGCCAGCAGCCGCGGUAAUACGUAGGGUGCGAGCGUUAAUCGGAAUUACUGGGCGUAAAGCGUGCGCAGGCGGUUUUGUAAGACAGAUGUGAAAUCCCCGGGCUUAACCUGGGAAUUGCGUUUGUGACUGCAAGACUGGAGUGCGGCAGAGGGGGGUGGAAUUCCACGUGUAGCAGUGAAAUGCGUAGAGAUGUGGAGGAACACCGAUGGCGAAGGCAGCCCCCUGGGUCGACACUGACGCUCAUGCACGAAAGCGUGGGGAGCAAACAGGAUUAGAUACCCUGGUAGUCCACGCCCUAAACGAUGCGAACUAGGUGUUGGGGAAGGAGACUUUCUUAGUACCGUAGCUAACGCGUGAAGUUCGCCGCCUGGGGAGUACCGUCGCAAGAUUAAAACUCAAAUGAAUUGACGG
This 587-nucleotide ribosomal RNA is filed under the name uncultured bacterium. Its description in RNAcentral is "bacterial SSU rRNA". It matches the Rfam family "Bacterial small subunit ribosomal RNA", at positions 338 to 916 of the family's 1533-position model. The record is from RNAcentral.